UGAAAGUGUGGUGCAAUAAUACGUAGUAUUUAAAGUUUCGAUUAUGUGUACUCCUUUCAAAUUGUAUGGAUUGAAUGAGCUAAAAAAGGGGGGUGCGGAGGAAACCACACGUGUCCGGUAUUGAGACCACCAACCAAACGCACAUGCUUCCGGAAACGUGGUUUGAAUCUGGUGGUCUUGAUGAGAAGCGCGGAACCCGGGUCGCCUAUUUGAGAUACGCGUGUACCAACCACUGCGCUAACCAGACAGCCCGGAGGGUCGGUCGGUCGGCACGUCAAUCGAAUGGGAGUGACCCGAGUCUCAAGCCUCGAUGCAGCCCCCGCAAGAGCUGAUGCACAUGUGUUACUAUGAUUACGAAACAUGAGCAAAGAAAUAUAAAAACUAUAUGAACACUUGGUGCACGUGUUUAAGCAUUUAUCGUUGGAAAUAAUAACCGGUAUACCUAACAUAUGUACUGUAUCUGUAGCAAUAACAAUUUUCCGACAAGGCUUAUUGUCGUAAGUGUUUCCUGAUGAUAAAAGUGCACUAAAUAUCACUGCAUUGGUACUUACUAAUUAGGCGGCAACGUGGUUGUUGUUGUGUUAGCCGACAAAAGCGCACAAAUAAAGACAUUAUACACAUCCAUGUAUUUCGUGUUAUGUUACAAUUGUUUUGGUAAUUGUUUAUACAAAUUUAACAUGAAACUCUACGUCUACGACUUAUUAUUGACAUGAUAUUCACAGAACCCAUGUUCAAUGUUAUUACUGAAAUACGUUUAUAUAUAGUUAGCUUUUUGCCUAUAUAUAUUGUUUAACAUUUAAUACGAUUUUAACCAAUUAAUUAAUUUUCUCCCUCUUUUCAUAUGCAUGUAAUUUCUACCAAUUUGAGUUGUAUAGAUUUGAUUUGUAAAUAUUUGAUUUUUUAGUGUAUCUUUGAUUUGGAAUGAUAUGGUAUUAUUAUUGGCAGUAUGUAAGGCAGUUGUGUGGUUUAGAUUUUUAAAUGACGAAAAAUAUGCCAACAAUAACAAAAUGUUCUAAAAAUAAGCAUACAUUUCUUCAUUUAUCACCAUGAUGCUUCAUUAUUAAAAAAUAUAUGACACGAGCAAACUGCAUGCAAAGGCUGCCAUAAAUAAAUGCAGGCAGCGAUACAACAAUAUUAAAACAUAUUCAAAUGGGAAAAAUAAAACAUACUCAGAUAGGAAAAAUAAAACAUAUUCAGAUAGGAAAAAUAAAACAUAUUCAGAUAGGAAAAAUAAAACAUAUUCAGAUAGGAAAAAACGCCUGAACAUGUCAAUGUUACUGGCGCAGGUUUGGCAUUAAAAACUGUUUGAAUAAUCCGUCAAAUGCAAGGUUGUAUUUCCAUUUAUUACAAGGCAGCUCAAGAUUGCUUUAUAGUUAGCGUCUAAAGAAUACAGUAAGAUUUAAUACCUAUAUGAAACACUGGCAAGACAUUUUUGCUAGCAGAACUCUUUGUCUUGGUCGUGUAUGUUCUUCUUGCAUCUGUCUGCGCCUUUUUAUGCCUCUUUUUAUGUUCACAAUAAACACUUCGGAACGGAGGCACUUUUUCAAUUAACCCCAUUUAACAAUUAUAACAAAAUCUUAUCUUUGAAUUGUAUGCUCAACACGAUCUUUCUGCAAGUGUAAUGAUGUGAAGUGCAACCACGUUUAUUGAGUUGCACAUGCAAAGAAUUCCGUGACCUGAAAUACCCGGUAGUUAUACCCGGUAGUUAUACCCGGUAGUUAUACCCGGUAGUUAUACCCGGUAGUUAUACCCGGUAGUUAUGCCCGGUAGUUAUACCCGGUAGUUAUACCCGGUAGUUAUACCCGGUAGUUAUACCCGGU
Dreissena polymorpha is the source of this 1820-nucleotide long non-coding RNA. RefSeq lists it as uncharacterized. The record is from RefSeq and is a predicted model, not a curated record. The transcript is spliced from 3 exons. NCBI's taxonomy places the organism in Eukaryota, Metazoa, Mollusca, Bivalvia, Myida, Dreissenidae.